CAUGACCUACGGGAGGCAGCAGUAGGGAAUCUUCGGCAAUGGGGGCAACCCUGACCGAGCAACGCCGCGUGAGUGAAGGAGGUUUUCGGAUCGUAAAGCUCUGUUGUAAGAGAAGAACGUGUGUGAGAGUGGAAAGUUCACACAGUGACGGUAACUUACCAGAAAGGGACGGCUAACUACGUGCCAGCAGCCGCGGUAAUACGUAGGUCCCGAGCGUUAUCCGGAUUUAUUAGGCGUAAAGCGAGCGCAGGCGGUUGGAUAAGUCUGUAGUUAAAGACUUUGGCUUAACCAUAGU
This 295-nucleotide ribosomal RNA is filed under the name uncultured bacterium. RNAcentral describes it as "partial 16S ribosomal RNA". It matches the Rfam family "Bacterial small subunit ribosomal RNA", at positions 331 to 619 of the family's 1533-position model. The record is from RNAcentral.